RNAcentral lists this long non-coding RNA (326 nucleotides) under Homo sapiens (human). RNAcentral describes it as "non-protein coding lnc-BEX1-2:1". The record is from RNAcentral. Lineage: Eukaryota; Metazoa; Chordata; Mammalia; Primates; Hominidae.
GUUUCCCACCUGUCUCCACCCAGCCUCCUCUAGCGUGCCCUCUGACGUAGGUGUGAUUGCUCCCAUGAGGAGGACAGCUCCACAGUUUCACUUACCGUUGUCCAUUUUGUUUUGAUUUUCGGCAGCUCCAUCCUGGAAUUGUUCCCCAAAUUAUUAUGCCUGGAUGGCCAGCAGUCACCCAGAGCAACUUUAUGUGGUACUGAAGCCCACAAGAGGUUACCAACCUGUAAGGGAAGCUUCUUUGGAUCUGAGAUGUUGAAGAAUCUGGUCCUGCAAUUCCUGCAGCAGUAUUACUUGAUCUAUGACUCUGGAGAUCGACAGGGUCU